AGUGAACGCUGGCGGUAGGCCUAACACAUGCAAGUCGAACGGCAGCACAGUAAGAGUUUGCUAUUACGGGUGGCGAGUGGCGGACGGGUGAGGAAUACAUCGGAAUCUACUUUUUCGGGGGGGAUAACGUAGGGAAACUUACGCUAAUACCGCAUACGACCUACGGGUGAAAGCAGGGGAUAUUCGGACCUUGCGCGAUUGAUUGAGCCGAUGUCGGAUUAGCUAGUUGGCGGGGUAAAGGCUCACCAAGGCGACGAUCCGUAGCUGGUCUGAGAGGAUGAUCAGCCACACUGGAACUGAGACACGGUCCAGACUCCUACGGGAGGCAGCAGUAGGGAAUCUUGGACAAUGGGCGCAAGCCUGACCCAGCCACACCGCGUGAGUGAUGAAGGCCUUCGGGUUGUAAAGCCCUUUUGUUAGGAAAGAAAAGCAGCAUGAUUAUCCCCCGCUGUUCUGACGGUACCCAAAGAAAAAGCCCCGGCUAACUUCGUG
RNAcentral lists this ribosomal RNA (492 nucleotides) under uncultured bacterium. RNAcentral describes it as "partial 16S ribosomal RNA". It matches the Rfam family "Bacterial small subunit ribosomal RNA", at positions 29 to 507 of the family's 1533-position model. The record is from RNAcentral.